CCAACUCAUCCAUUACCGCUGGCGCCACCGUGCCCACCCUAGCUUUGCCUCUGCCUAACGCCGCCGCCUCCCAGCGUGCACCUUCCUCAGCGCCGCCGGCCGUGUCCUCCAUUAGCGCCACCGCCCCUCGACGGUCGCCUGCUCCACCGCCUUCACCUUCCAACUCGACCUUGCUGGCCACGCAACAGCUUCUAAAGCCACCCCUUCCAGUGGAGCCACCGCCACCGCCGCCGCCGCCGCCUUGCCCUUACGGUGGCCACCUAUUCGCCGGAAUAAUUAGUGGUGAGAAUGGGACACUCAAUCGCGUCUUCCAGUAUGUCUGCCCUUCGAUCUGGCGCACGGUGAGCCCGGGACGAACCUAGCUUCAUGGCUCCCCUUGCCUGCCGGGGUUCCUCCACCUUGCUACUCCGAUGAGUUGUGUUCGGCCUCAGCUCCAUUCCGGGCCGCCCUACCGGGUGUUGGCCAUAGUGAUGAUAAAGUUCUUGUCUUUGUUCUUGCUGCUACGAGUAUGCCAUAUGCUCUGGAUCAGGCUGUGCGGCAACAGUUUGACAAGCGUAUCCUACAUUCCUUUACCUGACUCUGAAAGCAAGGCAGCAUAUGUUUAAGGUACUCAAGGAACAUAUGUGCAACACUACUUGAAAGAAGUUCUGUUCAGAAAGGUUGUCACAAUCUUCGGAAUCCACUCAGGUCCAUCUUUGGGGAUACAGCACACAGCUCAUCGGAAAGUGAUUUUGAGGUCUUGGGCCAUGGGACAGAUGGAUUUUCUGGUUCCGGCAUUGCUCUCUGUAACAGCACAAGUAGUUUCCGCACAAUCCUGAGUUGUGUCUGUACAAUGUGACAUGUUUCUAGUUCUUGCUAUUUGUUAACAGGUGAAAGAUAUCUUGUUUGAGCCCGUGCGUAAGACAUGGGAUGUAAUGUUCUUUUAGACUGAUGGUGGCACUGUCCAGACUACGAUCCAGGAGCUUGCAUCCAAAGGCACCUGAUCGCUUCACAGAUUCUUUCACCCCUGAUCCCAGUGACUGAUGUCAAGAAAGUCCUCGCUGGCAGAUGCCGACCGUUGGCAAGACGGACCUGGAAGUACACGAGAAGCUCAAGAAACAGUUCAGUGAAGAGGGUUGAUUUGCUGCCAGUACUCUCUGAAGUCUCAAUCCAACAAGUGUAUUAAAGAGUAAGGAUUCUUAAGGUGGGGAGUCCUUGUGCUGUAGCUUCAUAGUAAUUGUUUUCAGUCUCUCUGGCAUCUAAAAUUACUUUUUACUCUUUUCGACGGCGUGUGCCACAUGAGUUUUGUGCCGGGCUACCUGCAACGAUACCUGAAUCAUGUAAGACAGCUGAAUUAUACUUUGUCCUGUGGAUUCAGUGGUACCUCCUGUAAACUUUUAUGAA
Long non-coding RNA from Triticum urartu, 1383 nucleotides. RefSeq lists it as uncharacterized. NCBI's taxonomy places the organism in Eukaryota, Viridiplantae, Streptophyta, Magnoliopsida, Poales, Poaceae. The record is from RefSeq and is a predicted model, not a curated record.